Molecule: ribosomal RNA, 498 nt
Filed under: uncultured bacterium
Lineage: Bacteria
Description: partial 16S ribosomal RNA
Rfam family: Bacterial small subunit ribosomal RNA
Source: RNAcentral
GACGAACGCUGGCGGCGUGCCUAAUACAUGCAAGUCGAACGAGAGCGACCGGUGCUUGCACUGGUCAAUCUAGUGGCGAACGGGUGAGUAACACGUGGGUAACCUGCUCAUCAGAGGGGGAUAACAUCCGGAAACGCAUGCUAAAACCGCAUAGGUCUUCGAGCCGCAUGGCUUGAAGAGGAAAAGAGGCGCAAGCUUCUGCUGCUGGAUGGACCCGCGGUGCAUUAGCUAGUUGGUGAGGUAACGGCUCACCAAGGCCGUGAUGCAUAGCCGACCUGAGAGGGUGAUCGGCCACAUUGGGACUGAGACACGGCCCAAACUCCUACGGGAGGCAGCAGUCGGGAAUCUUCCGCAAUGGACGCAAGUCUGACGGAGCAACGCCGCGUGAGUGAAGAAGGUUUUCGGAUCGUAAAACUCUGUUGUUAGAGAAGAACAAGUGCUAGAGUAACUGUUAGCGCCUUGACGGUAUCUAACCAGAAAGCCACGGCUAACUACGUG